This 1539-nucleotide ribosomal RNA is filed under the name Staphylococcus aureus M0645. RNAcentral describes it as "bacterial LSU rRNA". It matches the Rfam family "Bacterial large subunit ribosomal RNA", at positions 1388 to 2925 of the family's 2925-position model. Lineage: Bacteria; Bacillati; Bacillota; Bacilli; Caryophanales; Staphylococcaceae. The record is from RNAcentral. RNAcentral also lists the same sequence under 1 other name.
GUCCUAAGCUGAGGCCGACAGGCGUAGGCGAUGGAUAACAGGUUGAUAUUCCUGUACCACCUAUAAUCGUUUUAAUCGAUGGGGGGACGCAGUAGAAUAGGCGAAGCGUGCGAUUGGAUUGCACGUCUAAGCAGUAAGGCUGAGUAUUAGGCAAAUCCGGUACUCGUUAAGGCUGAGCUGUGAUGGGGAGAAGACAUUGUGUCUUCGAGUCGUUGAUUUCACACUGCCGAGAAAAGCCUCUAGAUAGAAAAUAGGUGCCCGUACCGCAAACCGACACAGGUAGUCAAGAUGAGAAUUCUAAGGUGAGCGAGCGAACUCUCGUUAAGGAACUCGGCAAAAUGACCCCGUAACUUCGGGAGAAGGGGUGCUCUUUAGGGUUAACGCCCAGAAGAGCCGCAGUGAAUAGGCCCAAGCGACUGUUUAUCAAAAACACAGGUCUCUGCUAAACCGUAAGGUGAUGUAUAGGGGCUGACGCCUGCCCGGUGCUGGAAGGUUAAGAGGAGUGGUUAGCUUCUGCGAAGCUACGAAUCGAAGCCCCAGUAAACGGCGGCCGUAACUAUAACGGUCCUAAGGUAGCGAAAUUCCUUGUCGGGUAAGUUCCGACCCGCACGAAAGGCGUAACGAUUUGGGCACUGUCUCAACGAGAGACUCGGUGAAAUCAUAGUACCUGUGAAGAUGCAGGUUACCCGCGACAGGACGGAAAGACCCCGUGGAGCUUUACUGUAGCCUGAUAUUGAAAUUCGGCACAGCUUGUACAGGAUAGGUAGGAGCCUUUGAAACGUGAGCGCUAGCUUACGUGGAGGCGCUGGUGGGAUACUACCCUAGCUGUGUUGGCUUUCUAACCCGCACCACUUAUCGUGGUGGGAGACAGUGUCAGGCGGGCAGUUUGACUGGGGCGGUCGCCUCCUAAAAGGUAACGGAGGCGCUCAAAGGUUCCCUCAGAAUGGUUGGAAAUCAUUCAUAGAGUGUAAAGGCAUAAGGGAGCUUGACUGCGAGACCUACAAGUCGAGCAGGGUCGAAAGACGGACUUAGUGAUCCGGUGGUUCCGCAUGGAAGGGCCAUCGCUCAACGGAUAAAAGCUACCCCGGGGAUAACAGGCUUAUCUCCCCCAAGAGUUCACAUCGACGGGGAGGUUUGGCACCUCGAUGUCGGCUCAUCGCAUCCUGGGGCUGUAGUCGGUCCCAAGGGUUGGGCUGUUCGCCCAUUAAAGCGGUACGCGAGCUGGGUUCAGAACGUCGUGAGACAGUUCGGUCCCUAUCCGUCGUGGGCGUAGGAAAUUUGAGAGGAGCUGUCCUUAGUACGAGAGGACCGGGAUGGACAUACCUCUGGUGUACCAGUUGUCGUGCCAACGGCAUAGCUGGGUAGCUAUGUGUGGACGGGAUAAGUGCUGAAAGCAUCUAAGCAUGAAGCCCCCCUCAAGAUGAGAUUUCCCAACUUCGGUUAUAAGAUCCCUCAAAGAUGAUGAGGUUAAUAGGUUCGAGGUGGAAGCAUGGUGACAUGUGGAGCUGACGAAUACUAAUCGAUCGAAGACUUAAUCAA